UCUCAGUUCAACCUGCAGAGCAUCAGACGGAUCCACAUCAGCAGUUUCAGCAGAAAUCUGACAAUGAAGCUGGUAUCAGUCGUCUUCCUCCUCCUGGCUCCUCUGUUGACCAGCUGCCAGCAGCUCGUCCAACCGGUGGACUGCAGUGAAAUCUACAAACAAGACAAGAGCGUCCCCAGUGGAGUGUACACCAUCUAUCCCCUUGGAGAGAGGUCUGCU
This is a long non-coding RNA of Micropterus dolomieu (smallmouth bass), 219 nucleotides long. RefSeq lists it as uncharacterized. The transcript has 3 exons. The record is from RefSeq and is a predicted model, not a curated record. NCBI's taxonomy places the organism in Eukaryota, Metazoa, Chordata, Actinopteri, Centrarchiformes, Centrarchidae.